RNAcentral lists this unclassified non-coding RNA (376 nucleotides) under uncultured Gammaproteobacteria bacterium. Its description in RNAcentral is "contains 16S-23S intergenic spacer region". The record is from RNAcentral. Lineage: Bacteria; Pseudomonadati; Pseudomonadota; Gammaproteobacteria.
UCCGGUUUGUCACCGGCAGUCCCAUUAGAGUGCCCAACUCAAUGUGGCAACUAAUGGCAAGGGUUGCGCUCGUUGCGGGACUUAACCCAACAUCUCACGACACGAGCUGACGACAGCCAUGCAGCACCUGUGUUCCAGUUCUCUUGCGAGCACUCCCAAAUCUCUUCGGGAUUCCGGACAUGUCAAGGGUAGGUAAGGUUUUUCGCGUUGCAUCGAAUUAAUCCACAUCAUCCACCGCUUGUGCGGGUCCCCGUCAAUUCCUUUGAGUUUUAAUCUUGCGACCGUACUCCCCAGGCGGUCAACUUCACGCGUUGGCUGCGCUACUGAGGUUAAUAAACCCCAACAGCUAGUUGACAUCGUUUAGGGCGUGGACUAC